Molecule: ribosomal RNA, 219 nt
Filed under: uncultured soil bacterium
Lineage: Bacteria
Description: partial 16S ribosomal RNA
Source: RNAcentral
UCGCUCCCCUAGCUUUCGCGCCUCAGCGUCAGUAGUCGGCCCAGCAACCCGCCUUCGCCGCAGGUGUUCCUCUCGAUAUCUACGCAUUUCACCGCUACACCGAGAAUUCCAGUUGCCCCUUCCGCACUCUAGCACGACAGUAUCACUUGGCCGUUCCGAGUUGAGCCCGGAGAUUUCACAAGUGACUUGUCGCGCCGCCUACGCGCCCUUUACGCCCAG